Molecule: long non-coding RNA, 400 nt
Organism: Macrosteles quadrilineatus (aster leafhopper)
Lineage: Eukaryota; Metazoa; Arthropoda; Insecta; Hemiptera; Cicadellidae
Exons: 2
Source: RefSeq, a predicted model, not a curated record
AUAUAAUGUACAUAUAAUAUCAUGAUCAAUGGCUAACUAGUUUGACUGUUAUUACACUUCACCUUGUUGGCAGAACUGGAGAACAGCUGUUAAUUAACUAAAGUCAUUUUUGUAAUGAGCUGUUUCUUCAAAUCUUUCUUAGUUGGCUGAUUCCCUUAAAAAUUGUACAAACUCGUGAAAAUACGAGUUCAAGCAUUAGGCCUACUGUACUUGAAACAGUCAUAGUCCGUAGGAACUGGGAAUCACAGCCUAUUUAAGCCAGUCAAACCGUAGGAAUUUUACCAAGUAAGACUGUUGCCAUUUAAUUACUGAUAUAGUAAUAUUAGAUAUCAUUUAUAAGGAAGAUUAUAAAGGAUUUUCAUUAUUUUGAAGAAUAAAAGUAUAAUUUGUUAUAACCAUG